AUCACAACAGUGAAAAAAUCACAUCAAACAGGAAUCGGGAAGGGCCUCAUCGGAGGUAUUUUCUGAAAUACCCCGCGGCGGCGCCCCCUGGCUUUGCCAGCGUUUUUCGCCCAAUCGGCCAGUCCUUUUGCUCCAAUUUGGUCAUAGAUGUGUUUAAAAUUAAAUUCUAAGCAAAAGGUGAAAUUUUACCUCGUUUGGCAAUCGAAAAUUGCUCCGGUGCAGCGGCGGGUGACGGUGAUCGGUUCCCCGAUGGCUGGGCUGUCUUCUCCGGUGAGGGGUUCUGGCGUCUGGGGUUAGGGUUUGGGUGAGGAUGGUGUUAUUUAUACUCAUCCAUUUUUUAUCUGGGCCAUCUAUCGCUUUUGAUCUAAACCGUUCGAUUGCGAUUAAAUAGGGAGUGAAUCUGGGCUGUCCAUGCGUGAUUCAAUCUGGAACGUCCAUGUGUGAUUCAAUCUAGGCCGUCCAUGUGUAAUUCAAUCUGAGUCGUCCGUGCGCGCUUCCAAUCUGGGUUGUCCGUGCCCGCGGGAACGAAUCUCAGCCAUUCG
Molecule: long non-coding RNA, 542 nt
Filed under: Carica papaya (papaya)
Lineage: Eukaryota; Viridiplantae; Streptophyta; Magnoliopsida; Brassicales; Caricaceae
Description: long non-coding RNA (CPAP_LNC012460)
Source: RNAcentral